AGGGAUGUGGCUCAGUGGUGGAGCACUUGCCUAGCAAGUGUGAGGCACUGGGUUCAAUCCCUAGCAUCACAU
This 72-nucleotide transfer RNA is filed under the name Ictidomys tridecemlineatus (thirteen-lined ground squirrel). RNAcentral's name for it is "Spermophilus tridecemlineatus (thirteen-lined ground squirrel) tRNA". It matches the Rfam family "tRNA". Rfam says of the family: Transfer RNA (tRNA) molecules are approximately 80 nucleotides in length. Lineage: Eukaryota; Metazoa; Chordata; Mammalia; Rodentia; Sciuridae. The record is from Rfam by way of RNAcentral.